Molecule: ribosomal RNA, 441 nt
Filed under: uncultured bacterium
Lineage: Bacteria
Description: partial 16S ribosomal RNA
Rfam family: Bacterial small subunit ribosomal RNA
Source: RNAcentral
CCUACGGGAGGCAGCAGUAGGGAAUGUUGCGCAAUGGGCGAAAGCCUGACGCAGCAACGCCGCGUGAUGGAUUAAGGCCUUCGGGGUGUAAAGAUCUGUCAGUGGGGACGAAACUUGACGGUACCCACAGAGGAAGCACCGGCGAACUCCGUGCCAGCAGCCGCGGUAAUACGGAGGGUGCAAGCGUUGUCCGGAAUCAUUGGGCGUAAAGGGUUCGUAGGUGGGAUAUGAAGUCUGGUGUUAAAUGCCGAGGCUCAACCCCUGUUCGGCACUGGAUACUGGUAAGCUUGAGUGCGGUAGAGGUAAGGGGAAUGCCUGGUGUAGCGGUGAAAUGCGUAGAUAUCAGGCGGAACAUCGGUGGCGAAAGCGCUUUACUGGGCCGUAAUUGACACUGAGGAACGAAAGCCGGGGUAGCAAAUGGGAUUAGAUACCCCAGUAGUC